Paramuricea clavata is the source of this 405-nucleotide non-coding RNA. The record is from the annotation of a GenBank genome assembly. NCBI's taxonomy places the organism in Eukaryota, Metazoa, Cnidaria, Anthozoa, Malacalcyonacea, Plexauridae.
AAUGGAUUUAAAUGAUCCCAGACAAUUGUUGGCAGAAAUCUUGUAGCCCAAACAGAAUGAUGUAACGAGAACAGAGCCAAGACAAGAGUCACCAAGAAAUAUUCCAUCACUUUGGGAUUAAAGUCGAUCAAGGUUCUUGUACACGUUGAAGCAAAUUCAAGUAAAUUUGCUUUGAAGCAGCUGGAGCUUGUAAACGCGUAUAUUAAACCACGGCGGUAUAUAAUAAUGUGGUCCUCACGUAUUAUAACAAGUAGAUGCUUGUUUGAAUUUCCUAUUUCGGUACCGUAUUAAUUCUUCAGUUAGUCUAAUACUGGAUAGCUUUGACAGAGUGGCAAAUCUCAUUUAAGUCUUUUGUGUCGGAAUAUAAAAUAUGCUUCUUAGUCGGUUCUAGCGCGUGUUGUGUCA